RNAcentral lists this ribosomal RNA (287 nucleotides) under Lactiplantibacillus plantarum. Its description in RNAcentral is "Lactobacillus plantarum partial 16S ribosomal RNA". It matches the Rfam family "Bacterial small subunit ribosomal RNA", at positions 68 to 347 of the family's 1533-position model. The record is from RNAcentral. Lineage: Bacteria; Bacillati; Bacillota; Bacilli; Lactobacillales; Lactobacillaceae.
GCCUAUGCAUCAUGAUUUACAUUUGAGUGAGUGGCGAACUGGUGAGUAACACGUGGGAAACCUGCCCAGAAGCGGGGGAUAACACCUGGAAACAGAUGCUAAUACCGCAUAACAACUUGGACCGCAUGGUCCGAGCUUGAAAGAUGGCUUCGGCUAUCACUUUUGGAUGGUCCCGCGGCGUAUUAGCUAGAUGGUGGGGUAACGGCUCACCAUGGCAAUGAUACGUAGCCGACCUGAGAGGUAAUCGGCCACAUUGGGACUGAGACACGGCCAAACUCCUACGGGAG